RNAcentral lists this non-coding RNA (24 nucleotides) under Rattus norvegicus (Norway rat). Lineage: Eukaryota; Metazoa; Chordata; Mammalia; Rodentia; Muridae. The record is from RNAcentral.
UGUGGUGAUCUUCCUCUUUGUAGG